GCCCGGUUAGCUCAAUCGGUAGAGCGUAAGACUCUUAAACUUGCUAAAAGUGGACAGAACAAUCUUAAGGCUGCGGGUUCGACCCCCGCAUCGGGCU
Molecule: non-coding RNA, 97 nt
Organism: Orbilia blumenaviensis
Lineage: Eukaryota; Fungi; Ascomycota; Orbiliomycetes; Orbiliales; Orbiliaceae
Source: the annotation of a GenBank genome assembly